AGAGUUUGAUCAUGGCUCAGAGUGAACGCUGGCGGCGUGCCUAACACAUGCAAGUCGAACGAGAACGGAAUCUAGCUUGCUAGAUUUGUCAGCUAAGUGGCGCACGGGUGAGUAAUAUAUAGUUAAUCUGCCCCAAAGAAGAGAAUAAUUGUUGGAAACGACUUGUAAUGCUCUAUAUGCCUUUAUCACAAAAGUGAGCAAGGGAAAUAUUUAUAGCUUUGGGAUGAGACUGUACGGUAUCAGCUAGUUGGUGAGGUAAUGGCUCACCAAGGCUAUGACAUCUAACUGGUUUGAGAGGAUGAUCAGUCACACUGGAACUGAGACACGGUCCAGACUCCUACGGGAGGCAGCAGUGGGGAAUAUUGCACAAUGGAGGAAACUCUGAUGCAGCAACGCCGCGUGGAGGAUGACACAUUUCGGUGCGUAAACUCCUUUUAUUAGGGAAGAUAAUGACGGUACCUAAUGAAUAAGCACCGGCUAACUCCGUGCCAGCAGCCGCGGUAAUACGGAGGGUGCAAGCGUUACUCGGAAUCACUGGGCGUAAAGCGCGCGCAGGCGGCUAUUUAAGUUGGAUGUGAAAGCCUACGGCUCAACCGUAGAACUGCAUCCAAAACUAUUUAGCUAGAGUGUGGGAGAGGAAGAUGGAAUUAGUUGUGUAGGGGUAAAAUCCGUAGAGAUAACUAGGAAUACCAAAAGCGAAGGCAAUCUUCUGGAACACUACUGACGCUGAGGCGCGAAGGCGUGGGGAGCAAACAGGAUUAGAUACCCUGGUAGUCCACGCAGUAAACGAUGAAUGUUAGUCGUCGGGUAGCUAGUCUAUUCGGUGAUGCAGCUAACGCAUUAAACAUUCCGCCUGGGGAGUACGGUCGCAAGAUUAAAACUCAAAGGAAUAGACGGGGACCCGCACAAGUGGUGGAGCAUGUGGUUUAAUUCGAAGAUACGCGAAGAACCUUACCUAGCCUUGAC
This 966-nucleotide ribosomal RNA is filed under the name uncultured bacterium. RNAcentral's name for it is "bacterial SSU rRNA". It matches the Rfam family "Bacterial small subunit ribosomal RNA", at positions 8 to 985 of the family's 1533-position model. The record is from RNAcentral.